GUUGCGCGGCACAUAGUUGAUGAAGGCAAAGCCGCGCGCCUGAUCGAUGGCGUGAAACAGCGGGUUCCAGUCAAACAUCGCCAGCAUGAAGGGCGGCAGGGUGUUGGCGACAAACAUUUUGCCCGAGGCAAUCAUAUUGGCGCGUG
This is a small RNA of Shimia marina, 146 nucleotides long. It matches the Rfam family "Ruegeria cis2 sRNA". From Rfam's summary of the family: Cis-encoded. Targets ABC transporter. The record is from Rfam. Lineage: Bacteria; Pseudomonadati; Pseudomonadota; Alphaproteobacteria; Rhodobacterales; Roseobacteraceae.